Non-coding RNA from Maylandia zebra (zebra mbuna), 1241 nucleotides. NCBI's taxonomy places the organism in Eukaryota, Metazoa, Chordata, Actinopteri, Cichliformes, Cichlidae. The record is from RefSeq and is a predicted model, not a curated record.
AGAAGGACGAUGAAGGAAACAUCUGUGCUGUGUCUGCUCUAUGCAGCUGCAGUCGGCUCAGCAGUGAGAACUGAAGACGUCAGUCAAAGAGAAGGAAAAACAGUCAGAGCUGAGAGAGUUUCUACCAGAGCCAAAUGUCAUCUACUCCUCACUGAAGUCGUCCACCAGUCCAACCACUGGAAUCCAGCUGCUGCUCUCUAACUGGUCCACACAGCAGCUCAGACCUGACACAUUCACUGUAAACACACUGGUUUAUAUUCUGUUUGUUCUCCUCAUGAAGGAACAUGAGUUCUUUGGAGUCAUAGAUUAUGAAUUUAUAUUUUUCUCUUAUUUUAACAGCUACAGGUGUGGUUUGUAAUACGAUGGAGAUCCUUUACUCCAUUAUUAAACAGCCUUCAUCUACAAUGUGUUAGAAGUUUCUUUGAGUGAGAUUAUCUUGAACACAGUCAUGUGUUUAUAUUAGUGCCCUCCAAUAGAAUUGGACUAUUAAACAGCUCGAUGACAGACUCACUGCGCAUGCUCGUUAGUGCUGGUGCUUGUAUUCACUGACCCACAGAUUUGAAAUCAGGAUGUUGCUCACAGAUACGAACAACAUUUGUGUCUCUGAGCAGAUUUUACCAACCACUGUGGAAAUUCACGAGACUGUAAUAAGUGCAUUGAUGCUUAUUGCUGCUCUGUCAGCAGUGAGGGCUGGAGGCUUGUUUUCACCAGAAGUGACCACCAGAAAUAUCACAGUGACAGGUAACAAGUGUGAAGUCACCUGAAAGUGGACAAUAGUUUAGGUGGGCAUUAUUUGAAAGGUUUAUUUGUGUUUGUUUUUUAAAACAAACAAAAAACCUUUUCUUUAAUGAGAAAGUGGCUUUUUAAGUGGCUGCUGGGUCAAGAUUAUGUGGUCUGUGCUGCCACCUACUGACGUUGAAGUGUAACAACACUGACUCCGCACCGCUGAAAAUUCAAUGUUUCCACUUUGUGAAUGUGCAGCAGCUGUUUCGUGUCUGAUAUGGAGGAGACGUCACACUAACAGAUUUAAACUUUACAAAACGUCCUCUGUAAAUACUUUUUACAGGCUUGUUCUCACCUGCUCAUCACACAGGAUCAGAUUUUCACAAUAAACGCUUGUCACAUGUUUUCACUGACACUGAACAGAAUAUGUUUUGGUUCAUGUGGACGUGAGAGCGUCACACAGCUGGUCUGUGUUCUUUUUCUUACUGAUUUUCAGGUGUAAAAUUCAUUUUAAGACA